RNAcentral lists this unclassified non-coding RNA (200 nucleotides) under Agaricales sp. RNAcentral describes it as "partial internal transcribed spacer 2". Lineage: Eukaryota; Fungi; Basidiomycota; Agaricomycetes; Agaricales. The record is from RNAcentral.
UUAAGUUCAGCGGGUAGUCCUACCUGAUUUGAGGUCAAACAAGUCAUUAAGAGUCCCGUAAAGGACGGUUAGAAAGCAGAUACCUCGGAGACACUACCUUUGACGACGAUACUAUCACGCCAAAAAGUGAAUGAAUCCUGCAAGCGGUUUCCACUAAUGCAUUUAAGGAGAGCCGACCUCUUGAGAAGCCCGCAACCCCC